Molecule: ribosomal RNA, 465 nt
Filed under: Vreelandella stevensii
Lineage: Bacteria; Pseudomonadati; Pseudomonadota; Gammaproteobacteria; Oceanospirillales; Halomonadaceae
Description: partial 16S ribosomal RNA
Rfam family: Bacterial small subunit ribosomal RNA
Source: RNAcentral
CCUACGGGUGGCAGCAGUGGGGAAUAUUGGACAAUGGGGGGAACCCUGAUCCAGCCAUGCCGCGUGGGUGAAGAAGGCCCUCGGGUUGUAAAGCACUUUCAGUGAGGAAGAACGCCUGUGGGUUAAUACCAACAGGGAAGGACAUCAUCCACAGAAGAGCCACGGGCUAACUCCGUGCCAGCAGCCGCGGUAAUACGGAGGGUGCGAGCGUUAAUCGGAAUUACUGGGCGUAAAGCGCGCGUAGGUGGCUUGAUAAGCCGGUUGUGAAAGCCCCGGGCUCAACCUGGGAACGGCAUCCGGAACUGUCAAGCUAGAGUGCAGGAGAGGAAGGUAGAAUUCCCGGUGUAGCGGUGAAAUGCGUAGAGAUCGGGAGGAAUACCAGUGGCGAAGGCGGCCUUCUGGACUGACACUGACACUGAGGUGCGAAAGCGUGGGUAGCAAACAGGAUUAGAUACCCGAGUAGUC